This 191-nucleotide unclassified non-coding RNA is filed under the name uncultured Trechispora. RNAcentral's name for it is "sequence contains ITS1". Lineage: Eukaryota; Fungi; Basidiomycota; Agaricomycetes; Polyporales; Polyporaceae. The record is from RNAcentral.
ACGUAUCUCUGACGGCGGAGGCGCGCCCUGCUCCGGACCGAAAAGUCCGUGCAGCGGGUGCGCCCGAGUCGCUCAACCAUCGCAAACCCACCGUGCACUCUUGUCGGCGAGGGGCCCAGCGCCCCGAGCCGGAUCGCAAACACCUUUUAAAACAGAAUGAUCAGCGGACCUGCGUGCCGCCUAAACUUAAA